RNAcentral lists this long non-coding RNA (651 nucleotides) under Struthio camelus australis. RNAcentral's name for it is "lncRNA (ENSSCUG00000018185.1)". The record is from RNAcentral. Lineage: Eukaryota; Metazoa; Chordata; Aves; Struthioniformes; Struthionidae.
AGGAUUUAUGUUACCCCCACUUCAAAUAAAAAGUACCGAGGAAUGCAUUUCAUUACUGCCCUGUGACACUGGAGAAGCCAGGGCUGCAGUUGUAAUAUUCCUCAUUUGUUUGUGUCACACAGAAGAUUUAUUUGUAGGAAGAAUCUACCUCCAAAGAAAAUGAAUAGUCAAUACAUACGUCAUGAAGUACGGGGAUGUGAAACUAGUGACCUGAGAAACUUCUGGGAAAAGACUAUUGAACAACAAACUCGGUAUCUGCAAAUUGAGAAAGAACGUCAGCGAAGAAGCGCUCUGACAAAGCUCAGAAAUGAAUGGAUGGAGAGGCUGGAAAAACAGAUAAAAAUGUUGAGGACCCAACCUGAAGACCCAUCUAGCUGAAGAUCCAACGUUCAUUACACGUUGGGAGCUAAAAACAAAAAUUGUUUUGUAGGAGAAAAUGAUAGUGUGAUGCAAAAGCUUAAGCUAGUUUUACUUCAUGGCUUAAAUGAGUUAUAAUUAAUUAGCUGUCAUUGUUAGAAAUUUCAUAUGUGAAAUAUCUACUGCUGCUUUUAAGAUUAUUUAUUUAUCCCCUCACUUGAUGAAAAGAGGUUAAAGCACUCCCAAGUGUUCAAGAUUAAUAAAUCAUGGUUCAUUGAGCUAUAGAUGCCUGGA